Molecule: non-coding RNA, 431 nt
Organism: Parasteatoda tepidariorum (common house spider)
Lineage: Eukaryota; Metazoa; Arthropoda; Arachnida; Araneae; Theridiidae
Source: RefSeq, a predicted model, not a curated record
UCUGCUUAGAUAUAACCAAGUUAUAUUGUCUUUAACUCACAUACUUAAUUUUUUCUAAAUUGAAUUUGCGAGAACGGGUGAUGCACAGAAUAUCUAGCAUUUAGGCCUCCUUUUACGAUUCCGAUUCAGAAAUGGGAACUGCUUUGGAGGAUGGAUACAUACCUGACAGAAUAUACGUGCAUCAGUUAAACUUAACAUCAGCGGAUAUUGUUCGCCGACAAAAAGAGAAGGAGAUGGUAGAGGAAGAAAAAAUAAAAGUUAUGGAAAAGAAAGAGAUAAAGAAAAGACAAAAAGAAGAAGAAAGGAAAAGAGUAGGAAAAUACAAAUGCAUGAUCCAUUUCUUUGGCUAUUUUUUUUUCUUCUUUUUAAGUGUAUGAAAUGAAAGCCUCUUUGAAUGUAUUUCUAUAGUAAAAAAAUUCUUUAUAUUCUAU